RNAcentral lists this ribosomal RNA (433 nucleotides) under uncultured ammonia-oxidizing beta proteobacterium. Its description in RNAcentral is "bacterial SSU rRNA". It matches the Rfam family "Bacterial small subunit ribosomal RNA", at positions 197 to 611 of the family's 1533-position model. Lineage: Bacteria; Pseudomonadati; Pseudomonadota; Betaproteobacteria. The record is from RNAcentral.
UGGAGAAAAGCAGGGGAUCGUAAGACCUUGCGCUUUUGGAGCGGCCGAUGUCUGAUUAGCUAGUUGGUGGGGUAAUGGCCUACCAAAGCUUCGAUCAGUAGCUGGUCUGAGAGGACGGCCAGCCACACUGGGACUGAGACACGGCCCAGACUCCUACGGGAGGCAGCAGUGGGGAAUUUUGGACAAUGGGCGCAAGCCUGAUCCAGCCAUGCCGCGUGAGUGAAGAAGGCCUUCGGGUUGUAAAGCUCUUUCAGCCGGGAAGAAAAGGCUGCGAUUAAUAAUCGCAGUUCAUGACGGUACCGGAAAAAGAAGCACCGGCUAACUACGUGCCAGCAGCCGCGGUAAUACGUAGGGUGCGAGCGUUAAUCGGAAUUACUGGGCGUAAAGGGUGCGCAGGCGGUUUUGUAAGUCAGAUGUGAAAUCCCCGGGCUUA